UGGGGAAUAUUCCGCAAUGGACGAAAGUCUGACGGAGCAACGCCGCGUGAGUGAUGAAGGUUUUCGGACUGUAAAGCUCUGUUGUUUAGGACGAAAGUGCCUGUUGCGAACAGUUACAGGUAUUGACGGUACUAAACGAGGAAGCCACGGCUAACUACGUGCCAGCAGCCGCGGUAAUACGUAGGUGGCAAGCGUUGUCCGGAAUUAUUGGGCGUAAAGAGCAUGUAGGCGGAGAUUUAAGUCUGUUGUGAAAAUGCGGGGCUCAACCCCGUAUUGCGAUGGAGACUGAAGUGCUUGGGUGCAGGAGAGGAAAGGGGGAUUCCCAGUGUAGCGGUGAAAUGCGUAGAUAUUGGGAGGAACACCAGUGGCGAAGGCGCCUUUCUGGACUGUGUCUGACGCUGAGAUGCGAAAGCCAGGGUAGCGAAC
Molecule: ribosomal RNA, 426 nt
Filed under: uncultured bacterium
Lineage: Bacteria
Description: bacterial SSU rRNA
Rfam family: Bacterial small subunit ribosomal RNA
Source: RNAcentral